GUCCUGAGUCAUGCAGAAGACACUGAAUUACCCUGCUGCAGACAAGCAGCCACCUGGUUCCACACUACAAAGAUGCAGAGAACACCAGACCACCAGACCAAGAUAAAGGGGGCAGAGAAGGAAGAGAUUCAUUUCAGGGCAGCACAUUGCUGUGUGAAAGAACUACAUUUCCCAGUCCAUCUUGAAGCUGAUGUGAUCAUGUGACUGAGUUUUAGUCAGUGAGAAACAAGCAAGAAUAUGGGAGUCUAAAGUGGAAAAUGGCAGCCUCUCUUUGGUCCUAUUCCCUUCCUGCUACCUGGAAUAUGGAUGAAAUCACAAGAGCUUCAUAUGUUUGCAAAUUGUGGCCCUUUGCUAAGUGACUGAAAGAACAUGGA
Long non-coding RNA from Heterocephalus glaber (naked mole-rat), 374 nucleotides. Lineage: Eukaryota; Metazoa; Chordata; Mammalia; Rodentia; Bathyergidae. The record is from Ensembl.